Non-coding RNA from Myotis lucifugus (little brown bat), 81 nucleotides. The record is from Rfam. NCBI's taxonomy places the organism in Eukaryota, Metazoa, Chordata, Mammalia, Chiroptera, Vespertilionidae.
AGGCCCAAAGAGAGAGGCAGGAUCUGAUUCCCAGCCUCCAUGGCAUCUGUUGACCAGCUGUUGCCUCUCUCUUUCUCUCCU